This 253-nucleotide ribosomal RNA is filed under the name uncultured bacterium. RNAcentral describes it as "partial 16S ribosomal RNA". It matches the Rfam family "Bacterial small subunit ribosomal RNA", at positions 524 to 776 of the family's 1533-position model. The record is from RNAcentral.
UACGAAGGGGGGUAGCGUUGCUCGGAAUUACUGGGCGUAAAGCGCACGUAGGCGGCUUCUUAAGUCGGUGGUGAAAUCCUGGAGCUCAACUCCAGAACUGCCUUCGAUACUGGGAAGCUCGAGUCCGGGAGAGGUGAGUGGAACUGCGAGUGUAGAGGUGAAAUUCGUAGAUAUUCGCAAGAACACCAGUGGCGAAGGCGGCUCACUGGCCCGGUACUGACGCUGAGGUGCGAAAGCGUGGGGAGCAAACAGG